AUUGAACGCUGGCGGCAGGCCUAACACAUGCAAGUCGAGCGGAUGAAGGGAGCUUGCUCCUGGAUUCAGCGGCGGACGGGUGAGUAAUGCCUAGGAAUCUGCCUGGUAGUGGGGGAUAACGUCCGGAAACGGGCGCUAAUGCCGCAUACGUCCUGAGGGAGCAAGUGGGGGAUCUUCGGACCUCACGCCUUCUGAUGAGCCUAGGUCGGAUUCGCUAGUUGGUGGGGUAACGGCCUACCAAGGCGACGAUCCGUAACUGGUCUGAGAGGAUGAUCAGGCACACUGGAACUGAGACACGGUCCAGACUCCUACGGGAGGCCGCAGUGGGGAAUAUUGGACGAUGGGCGAGAGCCUGAUCCAGCCCUGCCGCGUGUGUGAAGAAGGUCUUCGGAUUGUAAAGCACUUUAAGUUGUGAGGAUGGGCAGUAAGUUAACCCCUUGCUGUUUUGACGUUACCAACAGAAUAAGCACCGGCUAACUUCGUG
RNAcentral lists this ribosomal RNA (484 nucleotides) under uncultured bacterium. RNAcentral's name for it is "partial 16S ribosomal RNA". It matches the Rfam family "Bacterial small subunit ribosomal RNA", at positions 30 to 507 of the family's 1533-position model. The record is from RNAcentral.